UACGGAGGGUGCAAGCGUUAUCCGGAAUUACUGGGUUUAAAGGGUGCGUAGGCGGAUAUAUAAGUCAGUUGUGAAAGGUCUCGGCUAAACUGAGGAAUUGCAAUUGAAACUGUAUGUCUUGAAUGGGGCUGAGGUUAGCGGAAUGAGUCAUGUAGCGGUGAAAUGCAUAGAUAUGACUUAGAGCACCAAUUGCGAAGGCAGCUAACUAGACCUCUAUUGACGCUGAGGCACGAAAGCGUGGGUAGCGAAC
This 250-nucleotide ribosomal RNA is filed under the name uncultured prokaryote. Its description in RNAcentral is "partial 16S ribosomal RNA". It matches the Rfam family "Bacterial small subunit ribosomal RNA", at positions 524 to 773 of the family's 1533-position model. The record is from RNAcentral.